CAAUAGCGUAUAUUAAAGUUGUUGCAGUUAAAAAGCUCGUAGUUGGAUUUGUGGCGUGCGGUGCGUUCCGGGCACUUGUUGUCUGAGUAACCUGCCGCUGCCGUCCUUGGGUGGAACCUGUGUGGCAUUAGGUUGUCGUGCAGGGGAUGCCCAUCAUUUACUGUGAAAAAAUUAGAGUGUUCAAAGCAGGCUUAUGCCGUUGAAUAUAUUAGCAUGGAAUAAUGAGAUAGGACUUUUUGCUAUUUUGUUGGUUUGCGCAAAGAGGUAAUGAUUAAUAGGGACAGUUGGGGGUAUUCGUAUUCCAUUGUCAGAGGUGAAAUUCUUGGAUUUUUGGAAGACGAACUACUGCGAAAGCAUUUACCAAGGAUGUUUUCAUUAA
Molecule: ribosomal RNA, 379 nt
Filed under: uncultured eukaryote
Lineage: Eukaryota
Description: partial 18S ribosomal RNA
Rfam family: Eukaryotic small subunit ribosomal RNA
Source: RNAcentral